UUAUCCUGUGAUCCGUCCACUUAA
Molecule: small RNA, 24 nt
Filed under: Arabidopsis thaliana (thale cress)
Lineage: Eukaryota; Viridiplantae; Streptophyta; Magnoliopsida; Brassicales; Brassicaceae
Description: ATSL055980
Source: RNAcentral